CUACGGGAGGCAGCAGUGGGGAAUCUUGCGCAAUGGGCGAAAGCCUGACGCAGCGACGCCGCGUGAGUGAUGAAGGCCUUCGGGUUGUAAAGCUCUGUGGGGAGAGAAGAAUAAGUCGUGGCUAACAUCCACGACGAUGACGGUAUCUCCUUAGCAAGCACCGGCUAACUCUGUGCCAGCAGCCGCGGUAAGACAGAGGGUGCAAACGUUGUUCGGAAUUACUGGGCGUAAAGCGUGUGUAGGCGGUGAAGUAAGUCAGGUGUGAAAUCCCGGAGCUCAACUUCGGAAGUGCACUUGAUACUGCUUCGCUUGAGUACUGGAGAGGUUGGUGGAAUUCUCGGUGUAGAGGUGAAAUUCGUAGAUAUCGAGAGGAACGUCGGUGGCGAAGGCGGCCAACUGGACAGAUACUGACGCUGAGACGCGAAAGCGCGGGGAGCAAACAGGAUUAGAAACCCCUGUAGUCC
Molecule: ribosomal RNA, 464 nt
Filed under: uncultured bacterium
Lineage: Bacteria
Description: bacterial SSU rRNA
Rfam family: Bacterial small subunit ribosomal RNA
Source: RNAcentral